GCCGGGAUAGCUGAGUUGGUUAGAGCGUGGUGCUGGUAAUGCCAGGCUUGCAGGUUCGAUCCCUGCAUGGGACA
Podarcis lilfordi (Lilford's wall lizard) is the source of this 74-nucleotide non-coding RNA. The record is from the annotation of a GenBank genome assembly. Lineage: Eukaryota; Metazoa; Chordata; Lepidosauria; Squamata; Lacertidae.